RNAcentral lists this small RNA (1664 nucleotides) under Pongo abelii (Sumatran orangutan). RNAcentral's name for it is "retained intron". The record is from RNAcentral. Lineage: Eukaryota; Metazoa; Chordata; Mammalia; Primates; Hominidae.
UUUUUGAGACGGAGUCUCACCCUGUCGCCCAGGCUGGAGUGCAGUGGCACGAUCUCGGCUCACUGCAACCUCUACCUCCCAGGUUCAAGCGAUUCUCCUGGCCCAGCCUCCUGAGUAGUUGGGAUUACAGGCGUGUGCCACCAUGCCCAGCUAAUUUUUGUAUUUUUAGUAGAGAUGGGGUUUCACUGUGUUGGCUAGCCUGGUCUCAAACUCUUGACCUUGUGAUCUGCCUGCCUCGGCCUCCCAAAGUGCUGGAAUUACAAGCAUGAGCCACUGUGCCUGGCCUGGCUUCCAGGUUUAUUGCUAGCUGUGGGAAAGCCUAAACUUCAGUUUUCUUAUCUGCAGAAUGAGGCAGAUAACAGUCUGGAGCUACACAUACUAGGCUCAGUGGAGAUACCAGCUGGUCAUUUUCUUCCAUGUAUUCUCUGCCUUUCAUGUUUCCACAUAUCUGCGAUAGGACCUCCCUCCGUAGUCCAGAGUUGAAGUUUUCAUGGCUUCUGUUUUUAUUUGAAGUGCCCCCCUCCUCUUCCCACUGAGGGUAGUGGAGUCUGUCCCUUUAUUAGGUCACCUGAGUUCCUUUUUAGCUGUGCUUGAUUGACUUGAAGCAUCACUGUUUUGUCUUUAAUGACCCUUAGAUUUUUACUGUGUUUGGGAUUGAUGUUUCAGCUACAUGCCUCCUCUGAAACAUUCUCCUCAGGCUCCUUGAGCUGCCAGCCAUCAGAGUUCUUGGCUAGCUGCCAAGAAGGGGUCUGACGGGUCCCUUCACAAUGAUGUCUCAGCACCUCUUCUGUGUUUGAGAAGGAUGAUGUGUAUUCUCUCUGUUUGCAGGCUCUGUCCAGCAGUGUCAGCUCCAGCAAGCUGUUCUCCAGCAGCACUGCUCCUCAUGAGACCUCCUUUGGAGAAGAGGUGGAGGUGCACAACCUACUUAUCAUUGACCAACACACCUUUGAAGUGCUUCAUGCCCACCAGUUUCUGCAGAAUGAAUAUGCCCUCAGUCUGGUUUCCUGCAAGCUGGGCAAAGACCCCAACACUUACUUCAUUGUGGGCACAGCAAUGGUGUAUCCUGAAGAGGCAGAGCCCAAGCAGGGUCGCAUUGUGGUCUUUCAGUAUUCGGAUGGAAAACUACAGACUGUGGCUGAAAAGGAAGUGAAAGGGGCCGUGUACUCUAUGGUGGAAUUUAACGGGAAGCUGUUAGCCAGCAUCAAUAGCACGGUGCGGCUCUAUGAGUGGACAACAGAGAAGGAGCUGCGCACUGAGUGCAACCACUACAACAACAUCAUGGCCCUCUACCUGAAGACCAAGGGCGACUUCAUCCUGGUGGGUGACCUUAUGCGCUCAGUGCUGCUGCUCGCCUACAAGCCCAUGGAAGGAAACUUUGAAGAGAUUGCUCGAGACUUUAAUCCCAACUGGAUGAGUGCUGUGGAAAUCUUGGAUGAUGACAAUUUUCUGGGGGCUGAAAAUGCCUUUAACUUGUUUGUGUGUCAAAAGGAUAGCGCUGCCACCACUGACGAGGAGCGGCAGCACCUCCAGGAGGUUGGUCUUUUCCACCUGGGCGAAUUUGUCAAUGUCUUUUGCCACGGCUCUCUGGUAAUGCAGAAUCUGGGUGAGACUUCCACCCCCACACAAGGCUCGGUGCUCUUCGGCACGGUCAACGGCAUGAUAGG